ACAUUUCUGUGAGAAAAAAUGAAAGUUACGCGAUAUCUUUCUUUUAUGUCCUAGAAUUCACGCUAGGAAAGUAUAAUAGAUGGAACACAUAGAACAACACAUAGAAAAAGAUUUAUAAACGAAAAAGAUUGAAAAAUAUUUCUUGGGAGAAAACAAAAAUGACGAAAUACCAUUCCCUGUUUCUUUUUUUUUCUUUAUUAUUAUUAAAACGCAGAUUACAAGAGUACAAAAUAAAUCUCACGUGUACUAAUCCAAAUGUGUGUAUAAGCUACAUUUGUAAAAAAAUUGAAAAAUAUUUCUCUGCACAAAAAUAAAACAUAACAAUAAGUGAAAUUUAUAAAUAAAAAAAAAA
Bombus impatiens (common eastern bumble bee) is the source of this 352-nucleotide long non-coding RNA. RefSeq lists it as uncharacterized. Lineage: Eukaryota; Metazoa; Arthropoda; Insecta; Hymenoptera; Apidae. The transcript has 2 exons. The record is from RefSeq and is a predicted model, not a curated record.